This 369-nucleotide ribosomal RNA is filed under the name uncultured bacterium. RNAcentral describes it as "bacterial SSU rRNA". It matches the Rfam family "Bacterial small subunit ribosomal RNA", at positions 29 to 416 of the family's 1533-position model. The record is from RNAcentral.
AAUGAACGUUGGCGGCGUGGAUUAGGCAUGCAAGUCGUGCGAUAACCCCGCAAGGGGGGAAAGCGGCGAAAGGGAGAGUAACGCGUGGGUACCUGCCCCUUGGUCCGGAAUAGCUGCGGGAAACUGCAGGUAAUGCCGGAUAACAUCCUCGGAUCAAAGGUGUGAUUCCGCCGAGGGAGGGGCCCGCGUUCUAUUAGCUAGUUGGUAGGGUAAUGGCCUACCAAGGCAACGAUGGAUACCGGGUGUGAGAGCAUGACCCGGCUCACUGGGACUGAGACACGGCCCAGACUCCUACGGGAGGCAGCAGUGGGGAAUCUUGCGCAAUGGGCGAAAGCCUGACGCAGCGACGCCGCGUGAGGGAUGACGGCC